This 315-nucleotide ribosomal RNA is filed under the name uncultured eukaryote. Its description in RNAcentral is "partial 18S ribosomal RNA". It matches the Rfam family "Eukaryotic small subunit ribosomal RNA", at positions 1470 to 1796 of the family's 1831-position model. The record is from RNAcentral.
CCCUUAGAUGUCCUGGGCCGCACGCGUGCUACACUGACACUUACACCGAGUUUUUCCAAUGCCGAAAGGCCAUUGGUAAUCAGCAAUAAGUGUCGUGAUGGGGAUAGAUCUUUGGAAUUAUUGAUCUUGAACGAGGAAUGCCUAGUAAUCGUAGGUCAUCAGCCUGCGAUGAUUACGUCCCUGCCCUUUGUACACACCGCCCGUCGCUCCUACCGAUUUCGAGUGGUUCGGUGAACCUUUCGGACCGGCAAUGCCUCGUGUUGCGCCGGAAAGUCAAGUAAACCAUNUNACUUAANGGAAGGAGAANUCGUANCA